Molecule: long non-coding RNA, 1340 nt
Filed under: Homo sapiens (human)
Lineage: Eukaryota; Metazoa; Chordata; Mammalia; Primates; Hominidae
Description: non-protein coding lnc-FAM98B-4:1
Source: RNAcentral
CAGCAAAAUGCCGUGACUGGGUAGCUUAUAAACAAAAGUAAUUUGUCACCAUUCUUGAGUCUCAGAAGUCCACUCAAGGCACAGACUGUGCCUGGUGAGGGCCCACUUUCAGGUUCAUAAGUGAUACUUGGCUAUAUCCUCACAUGGUGGAAAGAACAGGACAGCACUCUGGAGUCUCUUUUAUAAGGGCACUAAUCACAUUCAUGAGGGCUCUACCUUCCUAAUUGAAUCAUAGCCCCACCUCCUAAUACUAUCAUAUUGGUAAUUAGAUUUCCACAUAUGAAUUUUGUGGGGGACACAAACAUUCGGAGUAUAGCACUGGUUCACAGGAAAAACGUAAGUAAAAGAGUACUCAGAAUAUAGGGUGAUAGAUACAUAUAAUUUUAAGGUAAUUCAAAGGAGGGAGUGAUUAACUUGUGACUGAAUCAACAAAGACUUUUUGAUGAGUUUGUAGCUGAGGUUAAGCAUAAAACAGUUUUUUAGUGGAAAAUUUGAAGCAUGUCAUUGUUGGGCAGAGGAAUUGACAUGUACCAGAAAAUCAGAAGUAUGAAACAUCAGAUGCUAACAGAAAGAGACAGGUACAUCAAUAUUUGUAAAGCAAAGAAAUGAGGAUGAAAAUCAGUAGGAACAAGCCAUAUUAAGAAAGUAUAUUGACUAUUUUAAAGUAACAGACUGUGUGUUCAUUUAUUCUUUUGUUCAUUCUUGGAGUUUCUUAUUCACAUAAGGAAAGCCACUAUAUAAUUUUUAAUAAGAUGGAUCCAUUAUAAUAGAAAUUAAAUAGCAGAAAUACAUAUAAGAGUGAACAGUGUGACAGUACCUAGUCUUGGUAAGAAUAUGGAGCACCGAUUGUGAAUACAUGAAUUGUUCAAACCACCUCAAAAAUCAUUUUCAUUAUGAGAACUGGAACAUAUGUAUAUCCUGUGACCCAGUAUUUCUAUUCUUUGUCUUCUAGAGAAACUUUUUGUCAUAUAUACCAUAAGGCCUAUACACUAUUAUUCCUAGCAACAUUUAUUGAAAUAGCAAAAAAUUAGAACUGCCCAAACAUCCAUAGACAGAGAAUAGAUUAAUAAAUUGUAGUGUUCUUAUCCAGACUCUGCCGCCUAGUAACAUUUAUUUUAGGCAAGUUGCUUAAUCCCUUUGAAUUUUAGUCUCUUCAUACGGAGUAGGUUGAUAAUACUAUGUACCUCAAAGGAUUAUUGUGAAGAUUGAGUUAACCCAUGUAAAGUAGUUGAGACUGUCUGAUACACAGAAAAUGCUCAAUAUAUUUUAGCUAUCAUUGGUACACAGAGGUCAAAAUGACUGAUUAUUGCUACACAUGUCAAGGUGAAUGAAUUUCACUG